GACGGGAGCUUGCUCCCUUAGGUCAGCGGCGGACGGGUGAGUAACACGUGGGUAACCUGCCUGUAAGACUGGGAUAACUCCGGGAAACCGGGGCUAAUACCGGAUGCUUGAUUGAACCGCAUGGUUCAAUCAUAAAAGGUGGCUUUUAGCUACCACUUACAGAUGGACCCGCGGCGCAUUAGCUAGUUGGUGAGGUAACGGCUCACCAAGGCGACGAUGCGUAGCCGACCUGAGAGGGUGAUCGGCCACACUGGGACUGAGACACGGCCCAGACUCCUACGGGAGGCAGCAGUAGGGAAUCUUCCGCAAUGGACGAAAGUCUGACGGAGCAACGCCGCGUGAGUGAUGAAGGUUUUCGGAUCGUAAAA
RNAcentral lists this ribosomal RNA (368 nucleotides) under Bacillus licheniformis. RNAcentral's name for it is "bacterial SSU rRNA". It matches the Rfam family "Bacterial small subunit ribosomal RNA", at positions 71 to 430 of the family's 1533-position model. The record is from RNAcentral. Lineage: Bacteria; Bacillati; Bacillota; Bacilli; Caryophanales; Bacillaceae.